UUAAACGUGACAUUUAAUGUGACUUGCAACUCCCGUGAAUCAUCGAGAUUUUGAACACAUACGGAACUCUUGCUGCUUUCGAGUAGCAAGGGUACUUGCUUGUGAGUGUCAGUUACCAUUCAUAUUAGCUCUGAGCGAUAAUCUGCCCUAGCCCACCACGUUAGAAAAGAUUGCUCUCAGCUAUCUUCAGUCUUAGGAUUGAACACGGUAUGCAUGAAGGCUUUGCCAGAUUGCAAUUUUAUUAUAUCUGACCUCAUUUGUGAGUGGUUACCCACUGAAUUUAA
Molecule: unclassified non-coding RNA, 284 nt
Filed under: uncultured fungus
Lineage: Eukaryota; Fungi
Description: sequence contains ITS1
Rfam family: 5.8S ribosomal RNA (bases 1-111)
Source: RNAcentral